AGGCUUAACACAUGCAAGUCGAGGGGCAGCACGGUGUAGCAAUACGACGGGUGGCCGGACCGGCGCGACGGGUGAGUAACGCGUAUGACAACUUGCCUAUCAGGAGGGGGACUAACCGUCGAAAGACGGACUAAUACCGCAUGAAACGACGGGGUCCCGCAUGGGAAUAUUUGUUAAAGAUUUCAUCGCUGAUAGAUAGGCAUGCGUUCCAUUAGGUAGUUGGCGGGGCAACGGCCCACCAAGCCGACGAUGGAUAGGGGGUUCUGAGAGGAAGGUCCCCCACACUGGUACUGAGACACGGACCAGACUCCUACGGGAGGCAGCAGUGAGGAAUAUUGGUCAAUGGGCGAGAGCCUGAACCAGCCAAGUCGCGUGAGGGAUGACGGCCCUACGGGUUGUAAACUGUCUUUUAUAAGGGAAUAAAGUUAGUCUCGUGAGACUUUUGCAUGUACCUUAUGAAUAAGGACCGGCUAAUUCCGUG
This 481-nucleotide ribosomal RNA is filed under the name uncultured bacterium. Its description in RNAcentral is "bacterial SSU rRNA". It matches the Rfam family "Bacterial small subunit ribosomal RNA", at positions 44 to 507 of the family's 1533-position model. The record is from RNAcentral.